GAUGAACGCUGGCGGCGUGCCUAAUACAUGCAAGUCGAGCGAACAGACGAGGAGCUUGCUCCUCUGACGUUAGCGGCGGACGGGUGAGUAACACGUGGAUCACCUACCUAUAAGACUGGGGUAACUUCGGGAAACCGGAGCUAAUACCGGAUAAUAUAUUGAACCGCAUGGUUCAAUAGUGAAAGACGGUUUUGCUGUCACUUAUAGAUGGAUCCGCGCCGCAUUAGCUAGUUGGUAAGGUAACGGCUUACCAAGGCAACGAUGCGUAGCCGACCUGAGAGGGUGAUCGGCCACACUGGAACUGAGACACGGUCCAGACUCCUACGGGAGGCAGCAGUAGGGAAUCUUCCGCAAUGGGCGAAAGCCUGACGGAGCAACGCCGCGUGAGUGAUGAAGGUCUUCGGAUCGUAAAACUCUGUUAUUAGGGAAGAACAAAUGUGUAAGUAACUAUGCACGUCUUGACGGUACCUAAUCAGAAAGCCACGGCUAACUACGUG
RNAcentral lists this ribosomal RNA (497 nucleotides) under uncultured bacterium. RNAcentral describes it as "partial 16S ribosomal RNA". It matches the Rfam family "Bacterial small subunit ribosomal RNA", at positions 28 to 507 of the family's 1533-position model. The record is from RNAcentral.